RNAcentral lists this long non-coding RNA (294 nucleotides) under Pan troglodytes (chimpanzee). Its description in RNAcentral is "long non-coding RNA NONPTRT015505". The record is from RNAcentral. Lineage: Eukaryota; Metazoa; Chordata; Mammalia; Primates; Hominidae.
CCCUGUUUUGAGGGAUCAUCUCAGGCACUAACUUCCCGAAGACAAUAGAUGUGCAUCUUCAAAUGCAGCAUCCUGUGCCAGGUGCCUUGCGCUGGGUCCAGAAUGUGGAUGGUGUGUUCAAGAGGAUUUCAUUUCAGGUGGAUCAAGAAGUGAACGUUGUGAUAUUGUUUCCAAUUUAAUAAGCAAAGGCUGCUCAGUUGAUUCAAUAGAAUACCCAUCUGUGCAUGUUAAAAUACCCACUGAAAAUGAAAUUAAUACCCAGGUGACACCAGGAGAAGUGUCUAUCCAGCUGCG